Molecule: transfer RNA, 87 nt
Filed under: Gammaproteobacteria bacterium
Lineage: Bacteria; Pseudomonadati; Pseudomonadota; Gammaproteobacteria
Also listed under: 2 other names
Description: tRNA-Leu
Rfam family: tRNA
About the family: Transfer RNA (tRNA) molecules are approximately 80 nucleotides in length. Their secondary structure includes four short double-helical elements and three loops (D, anti-codon, and T loops).
Source: RNAcentral
GCCCAGGUGGUGAAAUUGGUAGACACGCUGUGUUCAGGUCGCAGUGAGCUUACGCUCGUGAGAGUUCGAGUCUCUCCCUGGGCACCA